CUACGGGAGGCACCAGUGGGGAAUAUUGGACAAUGGGGGAAACCCUGAUCCAGCAAUGCCGCGUGUGUGAAGAAGGCCUGCGGGUUGUAAAGCACUUUCGGUUGGGAGGACUGCUUCUAGCACUAAUAUUGUUGGAAGUUGACGUUACCUUCAGAAGAAGCACCGGCUAACUCCGUGCCAGCAGCCGCGGUAAUACGGAGGGUGCAAGCGUGAAUCGGAAUUACUGGGCGUAAAGCGCGCGUAGGCGGCUAGAUCAGUCGGGUGUGAAAGCCCCGGGCUUAACCUGGGAACUGCAUCCGAUAAUGUCUAGCUUGAGUCCAGGAGAGGAGAGUGGAAUUCCACAUGUAGCGGUGAAAUGCGUAGCUAUGUGGAGGAACACCAAUGGCGAAGGCAGCUCUCUGGCCUGAUACUGACGCUGAGGUGCGAAAGCGUGGGGAGCAAACAGGAUUAGAUACCCUUGUAGUC
RNAcentral lists this ribosomal RNA (465 nucleotides) under uncultured bacterium. Its description in RNAcentral is "partial 16S ribosomal RNA". It matches the Rfam family "Bacterial small subunit ribosomal RNA", at positions 339 to 795 of the family's 1533-position model. The record is from RNAcentral.